ACGCUCGACACCUACGGAGGCAGCAGUGAGGAAUAUUGGUCAAUGGACGCAAGUCUGAACCAGCCGUGCCGCGUGCAGGAUGACGGCUCUAUGAGUUGUAAACUGCUUUUGUACGAGGGUAAACGCAGAUACGUGUAUCUGUCUGAAAGUAUCGUACGAAUAAGGAUCGGCUAACUCCGUGCUAGCAGCCGCGGUAAUCUGAGCGGGCUGGCAAGGC
This 217-nucleotide ribosomal RNA is filed under the name uncultured bacterium. Its description in RNAcentral is "partial 16S ribosomal RNA". It matches the Rfam family "Bacterial small subunit ribosomal RNA", at positions 328 to 539 of the family's 1533-position model. The record is from RNAcentral.